RNAcentral lists this ribosomal RNA (774 nucleotides) under uncultured Neocallimastigales. RNAcentral describes it as "partial large subunit ribosomal RNA". It matches the Rfam family "Eukaryotic large subunit ribosomal RNA", at positions 24 to 640 of the family's 3401-position model. Lineage: Eukaryota; Fungi; Neocallimastigomycota; Neocallimastigomycetes; Neocallimastigales. The record is from RNAcentral.
UAUGUGAUCGUCUCUCGCAUAUCAAUAAGCGGAGGAAAAGAAACUAACAAGGAUUCCCCUAGUAGCGGCGAGUGAAGCGGGAAGAGCUCAAAUUUGAAAUCUUAAAGGGUUUCCCUUUACGAAUUGUAGUUUAAAGAAGUGUUUUCUGUUGAGGUUUUGGUAAAAGUUCUUUGGAAUAGGACAUCAUAGAGGGUGAGAAUCCCGUAUUUGACCUUUACUUUCAACUUUGUGAUACACUUUCAAAGAGUCGGAUUGUUUGGGAAUGCAGUCCAAAAUGGGUGGUAAAUUUCAUCUAAAGCUAAAUAUUGGCGAGAGACCGAUAGCGAACAAGUACCGUGAGGGAAGAUGAAAAGAACUUUGAAAAGAGAGUUAAACAGUACGUGAAAUUGUCAAAAGGGAAGCGUUUGACACCAGUGUUGUUUUUCUGAAAAUCAAUUAAAGAACUGUUUAUGCUAAGUUGUUUAGACUUUAUCAGCUAACUGUUUAGUUUUGAGCUUUUCUUUAAUGCACUUUUCAGUUAACAAGUCAACAUCAAUUUCUUUUGCUGUAAAAAAGCUUGAGGAAGGUGGCUUGAGAUUCGUCUUAAGUGUUUAUAGCCUCUUGCCUAUGCAGUCGGAGAGAUUGAGGUCUGCAGCGUAGAUCCUUCGGGGCUAAAUGCAUUUGUGCUAAGUUAUAGCAUUUUAUAGACAACUUGUUGUACUAUGAUUUGUCUUGUAGCUUACUCGCUUAUGUUAUUUUACCUACGCUUAGGAUGUUGAUCUACAGAGCGAGAGU